This is a long non-coding RNA of Colossoma macropomum (tambaqui), 1742 nucleotides long. RefSeq lists it as uncharacterized. NCBI's taxonomy places the organism in Eukaryota, Metazoa, Chordata, Actinopteri, Characiformes, Serrasalmidae. The transcript has 3 exons. The record is from RefSeq and is a predicted model, not a curated record.
UCCACUGUGUACUUGUACAUAGAUGGAAUGACAAUAAAAGCCUCUCGACUUGAGAAAUACUAAGUAAAUUUUAACCAAUGUACUCGCCUUUAAAUCCGCGCAUGCGCGUUGAAGGCGACAUGAUAAGCGUCAUUUUUGAGCAGAGCUGUUUGGAGGCGCCGCGGAGGUGUGGCUGCAUGACUGGAUUCUCACGGGUGUAAGCCGUAAGCUAUCCUGUUAUCCGCAGCCUCAUACUGUACCUUCGCGAGAAAGAAGAAGUACUUUUUGAAGAUUGCCUGGUGGACAACCGCAGUGAUGUCACUGAACACAUCCUCAAGAUCUUGGUCAUCCAUGGUGCUGAUGGAGAGGAUCCAGUGGACGUAUCCGUCCUUCUUGACGGUGCAGAGAUCUUGCCGGGAUGCUGCAACACUGCUAAAGCUUGCGCGCUGCUCAUGGGGCUAAUUUAUGCUCUCAAUCAUACCCUCCAACACUGCCAUACACUUUUGAGGUGUUCCAGAAGCUUUUUCUGGAAAUGGAUGUGAUUAAACUGUCCCCAAAGGUACAAGCUUUAAAGUUGAAGUUACUAUCUUAAAUAUUUUUGCAGUGCAAGUACUACAUCUGCUGCUGGUACACUCCAAUUCAUUUUUCCAUCUGCAAAUGACUGACAGCUCCACUGGUCCCUCCCCUCACAUACAGCAGUUUGUCUUUACAUGGAACUUCCACUGUCCAGACACACACUUCCGUUUCCCCCAUUUGAAAUCUGUGCUUGGCACAAGUGACAUGCACUUGACAAAUAUUUUUGGGGGUAAAAUGAUUUCCUGUUUUCAUACUUAAGGAUAAUUACCAUGCUUUUGAGUUAAACCUCACCUGACUGCUUUGUGAAGCAUUGCUCAUUUUUCCCCUUUUUCAUUUUUGCUCGGCAAGUCAUGCCUCUCAGCUCUUUCCUAUUGGUAAGCCCUCACUCUUGUGUAGUACCCCCUGUAUUUCUUUUGAUAUUUAUUACAGUUCAAACGGUAAAGUAACAUUUUAUUUAUCUAGAACUGUUAAAGGGAAUUCUAUUGAGGCAAUGAAAGUCAGAAAUGUUUACAGUGGUGGUGACGGGAACAAGACAUCCAGGUCUAAAAGCUCCCUAACAAACUUGGAUGAAAAUGCUGCUUGAUGUGGGAGGCAUUGCUAUUAUGGUAGGUGUACAUGAGUUUGUUCUAAAACGUGAUCAAUGUAUUUUAUUCUAGGUGGUGGCAUUAUGUCUAGGGUGUUGACAGUUAUUUUAGAUUUUCCACAGUUUUACCAUCACUUUUAUUCAUUUACUCAAAAACCUCCUGAGGCCCAUGUAGAGUCACUGGUAGUUUUGGAUAGUAAAUAAAUGGCUGUAGUUAUGUUAUGUGCAUGGCAACCCAACUGUAAUGAAAUAUUUAAGUUUCUCUGUUCUGAGCCAUUGCACAUCGAACCACUCAGUUACUCUUCAACCACUGAAGUAUACAGACAGUUUGAUAAAUCUGUGGAAUUCCUUUUUAACACCUCUGGAUGUUCAUAAAUGGUUGCAGUGUUCCAGAGGGUUCAGAGGACUGUUUUAAUUUAAUAUUUUAAAAGCACCAAAGCUGUUGAAUGUAGUAGAUUUAGGCAAGACCAAGAUAAUAUUGACCCAAACAAUUUUUUUGCAACAUUUACUGACAAGAGCAUGACUGUUUAAGUUAUAGUGUACAGUAUAAUAUACUGCAUAAUCCUUGCAUGCAAGAACAUUGGGUAGUGUUGGGUGGUGCUGA